AGCGAACGCUGGCGGCAGGCUUAACACAUGCAAGUCGAGCGGGCGUAGCAAUACGUCAGCGGCAGACGGGUGAGUAACGCGUGGGAACAUACCUUUUGGUUCGGAACAACACAGGGAAACUUGUGCUAAUACCGGAUAAGCCCUUACGGGGAAAGAUUUAUCGCCGAAAGAUUGGCCCGCGUCUGAUUAGCUAGUUGGUGAGGUAACGGCUCACCAAGGCGACGAUCAGUAGCNGGUCUGAGAGGAUGAUCAGCCACAUUGGGACUGAGACACGGCCCAAACUCCUACGGGAGGCAGCAGUGGGGAAUAUUGGACAAUGGGCGAAAGCCUGAUCCAGCCAUGCCGCGUGAGUGAUGAAGGCCCUAGGGUUGUAAAGCUCUUUUGUGCGGGAAGAUAAUGACGGUACCGCAAGAAUAAGCCCCGGCUAACUUCGUGCCAGCCGCCGCUGUAAG
Molecule: ribosomal RNA, 452 nt
Filed under: uncultured bacterium
Lineage: Bacteria
Description: bacterial SSU rRNA
Rfam family: Bacterial small subunit ribosomal RNA
Source: RNAcentral